RNAcentral lists this transfer RNA (50 nucleotides) under Echiuropus macronychus. RNAcentral's name for it is "tRNA-Ser". Lineage: Eukaryota; Metazoa; Arthropoda; Malacostraca; Amphipoda; Acanthogammaridae. The record is from RNAcentral.
UAGGUGUAAAAAAGACUUCUAAUCUUUAAAUAGCAUAACGCUACACUUAC